CCUACGGGAGGCAGCAGUGAGGAAUAUUGGUCAAUGGACGAGAGUCUGAACCAGCCAAGUAGCGUGCAGGAUGACGGCCCUAUGGGUUGUAAACUGCUUUUAUGCGGGGAUAAAGUCGGCUACGCGUAGCCGUUUGUAGGUACCGCAUGAAUAAGGACCGGCUAAUUCCGUGCCAGCAGCCGCGGUAAU
Molecule: ribosomal RNA, 189 nt
Filed under: uncultured bacterium
Lineage: Bacteria
Description: partial 16S ribosomal RNA
Rfam family: Bacterial small subunit ribosomal RNA
Source: RNAcentral